CCUACGGGAGGCAGCAGUGAGGAAUAUUGGGCAAUGGGCGAGAGCCUGAACCAGCCAAGUCGCGUGAGGGAAGACGGUCCUAGGGAUUGUAAACCUCUUUUGCCGGGGAGCAAAAAGCGGUACGUGUACCGCAUCGAGAGUACCCGGAGAGACAGCAUAGGCUAACACCGUGCCAGCAGCAGCGGUAAUACGGAGGAUGCGAGCGUUAUCAGGAUGUAUUGGGUUAAAAGGGUGCGCAGGCGGCGAGUUAAGUCAGCGGUAAAAUUUCGGGGCUCAACCCCGACGAGCCGUUGAAACUGGCUUGCUAGAGUGGGCUAGAAGUAUGCGGAAUGCGUGGUGUAGCGGUGAAAUGCAUAGAUAUCACGCAGAACUCCGAUUGCGAAGGCAGCAUACCGGCGCCCAACUGACGCUCAGGCACGAAAGCGUGGGUAUCGAACAGGAUUAGAUACCCUGGUAGUC
Molecule: ribosomal RNA, 459 nt
Filed under: uncultured bacterium
Lineage: Bacteria
Description: partial 16S ribosomal RNA
Rfam family: Bacterial small subunit ribosomal RNA
Source: RNAcentral